CAUAGCUGUAAGCACUGCACUGACGUGUUUGCAGAUUGACUGGUGAGCUAAUGCAGGAGGAACCUUCCUUGUUCUUUGAUAACCUGUGUGGUCAGCUUCUGUGUAGGAGCGGUGUGUGCAGGUCCUGGUGUCAUCAGGCAAGGUGUGCUUCUGGAAAGUGAAGACCUGCCCUGGCAGGAGCGUGGGCCUUCACAGGGUGUUUCAGCUUGGUGGUUUUCCUGAAGUUCCAAACGCAGUGCUGCAUGGAGAACAGGAUUCUGCUUGUCUGUGAGGGCUGUGAGCUGCUGUCCUGGCUGCAGAGGCAUUAGAAGAGUUGAAACGAUUCUGCUAAUCUGCAAGGCUUGGAAGUGUUAUGAAGUAUUUCUUUGAUUAAAACCAGACGGACUCUUUAGAUGCUCGGAGAGGACACAAAUGCUGAAGGAGAAAAUGACGCAGGAGGGCAGCAGGCAAGAGGAAGGCAGAGCCCCACGUGGGUAUGACCUGUAAGGCAAAUGCUCACGCAUCUCCUGCAGCAGUCCUCCUCCAGGGCACAGCAUCCUCAAGGCUCAUCUAGCAGGUGGAUUUCCUGCCCUGUGCCAGCAAACCUCGCAUGUUGUGACCAGAGGUGACAGUCUGUGCUGGUGGUCACUGUCCCCAUUGCUCCCAGCCUCCAGUUCCAAGGAUCCCUAGGCUGCACCACCUACUCCUGUGUCAGACCCAGCUGAUCACAGC
This is a long non-coding RNA of Gallus gallus (chicken), 711 nucleotides long. Lineage: Eukaryota; Metazoa; Chordata; Aves; Galliformes; Phasianidae. The record is from Ensembl.